CGGGGUGCAGCAGGCGCGAAAACUUUGCACUAAGCGAAAGCUUGACAGGGCUAUCCCGAGUGCCAUCCGCUGAGGAAGGCUUUUACCCAGUCUAGAACGCUGGGGGAAUAAGGAGAGGGCAAGUCUGGUGUCAGCCGCCGCGGUAAUACCAGCUCUCCGAGUGGUGUGGAUGUUUAUUGGGCCUAAAGCAUCCGUAGCUGGCUAAGUUAGUCCCUUGUUAAAUCCACCGAAUUAAUCGUUGGAUUGCGGGGGAUACUGCUUGGCUAGGGGACGAGAGAGGCAGACGGUAUUUUCGGGGUAGGGGUGAAAUCCUAUAAUCCCGGGAAGACCACCAGUGGCGAAGGCUGUCUGCUAGAACGCGCCCGACGGUGAGGGAUGAAAGCUGGGGGAGCGAACCGGAUUAGAUACCCGGGUAGUCCCAGCUGUAAACGAUGCAGGCUAGGUGUUUGGACGGCCACGUGCCGUUCUAGUGCCGCAGGGAAGCUGUUAAGCCUGCCGCCUGGGGAGUACGAUCGCAAGAUUGAAACUUAAAGGAAUUGGCGGGGGAGCAC
This 551-nucleotide ribosomal RNA is filed under the name uncultured archaeon. Its description in RNAcentral is "bacterial SSU rRNA". It matches the Rfam family "Archaeal small subunit ribosomal RNA", at positions 326 to 879 of the family's 1478-position model. The record is from RNAcentral.